AAAAUUUUAGUUUAAUAAAAAUUUUUCAAUUACUCUGAAAAGAUUAGUGUGUCAUCUAAAAUUUUA
This 66-nucleotide transfer RNA is filed under the name Megachile sculpturalis. RNAcentral's name for it is "tRNA-Val". Lineage: Eukaryota; Metazoa; Arthropoda; Insecta; Hymenoptera; Megachilidae. The record is from RNAcentral.